GGGGCAACCUGGUGGCGAGUGGCGAACGGGUGAGUAAUAUAUCGGAACGUACCCUGGAGUGGGGGAUAACGUAGCGAAAGUUACGCUAAUACCGCAUACGAUCUAAGGAUGAAAGUGGGGGAUUCGCAAGAACCUCAUGCUCCUGGAGCGGCCGAUAUCUGAUUAGCUAGUUGGUGAGGUAAAGGCUCACCAAGGCUUCGAUCAGUAGCUGGUCUGAGAGGACGACCAGCCACACUGGAACUGAGACACGGUCCAGACUCCUACGGGAGGCAGCAGUGGGGAAUUUUGGACAAUGGGCGCAAGCCUGAUCCAGCAAUGCCGCGUGAGUGAAGAAGGCCUUCGGGUUGUAAAGCUCUUUUGUCAGGGAAGAAACGGUGAGGGCUAAUAUCUCUUGCUAAUGACGGUACCUGAAGAAUAAGCACCGGCUAACUACGUGCCAGCAGCCGCGGUAAUACGUAGGGUGCAAGCGUUAAUCGGAAUUACUGGGCGUAAAGCGUGCGCAGGCGGUUUUGUAAGUUUGUCGUGAAAGCCCCGGGCUCAACCUGGGAAUUGCGAUGAAGACUGCAAGGCUUGAAUCUGGCAGAGGGGGGUAGAAUUCCACGUGUAGCAGUGAA
RNAcentral lists this ribosomal RNA (614 nucleotides) under uncultured beta proteobacterium. RNAcentral's name for it is "bacterial SSU rRNA". It matches the Rfam family "Bacterial small subunit ribosomal RNA", at positions 76 to 685 of the family's 1533-position model. The record is from RNAcentral. Lineage: Bacteria; Pseudomonadati; Pseudomonadota; Betaproteobacteria.